GCCUACGGCCAUACCACCCUGAGAACGCCCGAUCUCGUCUGAUCUCGGAAGCCAAUCAGGGUCGGGCCCGGUUAGUACUUGGAUGGGAGACCGCCUGGGAAUACCGGGUGCUGUAGGCU
RNAcentral lists this ribosomal RNA (119 nucleotides) under Opisthocomus hoazin. Lineage: Eukaryota; Metazoa; Chordata; Aves; Opisthocomiformes; Opisthocomidae. The record is from RNAcentral.